UACGGGGGGGGCAAGCGUUGUUCGGAAUUACUGGGCGUAAAGGGCGCGUAGGCGGUCUUCUAAGUCUUGUGUGAAAUCCCUCGGCUCAACUGAGGAACUGCACGGGAUACUGGAAGACUUGAGUUCGGGAGAGGGAAGCGGAAUUCCGGGUGUAGCGGUGAAAUGCGUAGAUAUCCGGAGGAACACCGGUGGCGAAGGCGGCUUCCUGGACCGAUCACUGACGCUGAGGUGCGAAAGCGUGGGGAGCAAACAGG
RNAcentral lists this ribosomal RNA (254 nucleotides) under uncultured bacterium. Its description in RNAcentral is "partial 16S ribosomal RNA". It matches the Rfam family "Bacterial small subunit ribosomal RNA", at positions 524 to 776 of the family's 1533-position model. The record is from RNAcentral.